RNAcentral lists this ribosomal RNA (425 nucleotides) under uncultured bacterium. RNAcentral describes it as "partial 16S ribosomal RNA". It matches the Rfam family "Bacterial small subunit ribosomal RNA", at positions 354 to 796 of the family's 1533-position model. The record is from RNAcentral.
GUGGGGAAUAUUGGACAAUGGGCGAAAGCCUGAUCCAGCUAUGCCGCGUGAGUGAUGAAGGCCUUAGGGUUGUAAAGCUCUUUCAGUAGGGAAGAUAAUGACGGUACCUACAGAAGAAGCCCCGGCUAACUUCGUGCCAGCAGCCGCGGUAAUACGAAGGGGGCUAGCGUUGUUCGGAUUUACUGGGCGUAAAGCGCACGUAGGCGGAUUGGUCAGUUAGAGGUGAAAUCCUGGAGCUCAACUCCAGAACUGCCUUUAAUACUGCCAGUCUAGAGUCCAGAAGAGGUGAGUGGAACUCCUAGUGUAGAGGUGGAAUUCGUAGAUAUUAGGAAGAACACCAGUGGCGAAGGCGGCUCACUGGUCUGGUACUGACGCUGAGGUGCGAAAGCGUGGGGAGCAAACAGGAUUAGAUACCCCAGUAGUCC